This 483-nucleotide ribosomal RNA is filed under the name uncultured bacterium. Its description in RNAcentral is "partial 16S ribosomal RNA". It matches the Rfam family "Bacterial small subunit ribosomal RNA", at positions 29 to 507 of the family's 1533-position model. The record is from RNAcentral.
AUUGAACGCUGGCGGAAUGCUUUACACAUGCAAGUCGAACGGCAGCACGGGGGCAGCCCUGGUGGCGAGUGGCGAACGGGUGAGUAAUACAUCGGAACGUGCCCGGUCGUGGGGGAUAACGUAGCGAAAGUUACGCUAAUACCGCAUACGAUCUGAGGAUGAAAGCGGGGGACCUUCGGGCCUCGCGCGAUCGGAGCGGCCGAUGUCAGAUUAGGUAGUUGGUGGGGUAAAGGCCUACCAAGCCGACGAUCUGUAGCUGGUCUGAGAGGACGACCAGCCACACUGGGACUGAGACACGGCCCAGACUCCUACGGGAGGCAGCAGUGGGGAAUUUUGGACAAUGGGCGCAAGCCUGAUCCAGCCAUUCCGCGUGCAGGACGAAGGCCUUCGGGUUGUAAACUGCUUUGUACGGAACGAAAAGGCUCUGGCUAAUACCUGGGGCUCAUGACGGUACCGUAAGAAUAAGCACCGGCUAACUACGUG